RNAcentral lists this ribosomal RNA (253 nucleotides) under uncultured bacterium. Its description in RNAcentral is "partial 16S ribosomal RNA". It matches the Rfam family "Bacterial small subunit ribosomal RNA", at positions 524 to 776 of the family's 1533-position model. The record is from RNAcentral.
UACGUAGGGGGCAAGCGUUGUCCGGAUUCAUUGGGCGUAAAGAGCGUGUAGGCGGCCAGGUAGGUCGGUUGUGAAAACUGGAGGCUCAACCUUCAGAGGUCGACCGAAACCAUCUGGCUAGAGUCCGGGAGAGGAGAGUGGAAUUCCUGGUGUAGCGGUGAAAUGCGCAGAUAUCAGGAGGAACACCAAUGGCGAAGGCAGCUCUCUGGUACGUGACUGACACUGAGACGCGAAAGCGUGGGGAGCGAACAGG